UCCCUUGUAGCUCAGUUGGUAAAGAAUCUGCCUGUGGUGCAGAAGAUCCAGGUUUGAUCCCUGGCUUGGGAA
Dama dama (fallow deer) is the source of this 72-nucleotide non-coding RNA. NCBI's taxonomy places the organism in Eukaryota, Metazoa, Chordata, Mammalia, Artiodactyla, Cervidae. The record is from the annotation of a RefSeq genome assembly.